CUGGUUUACUUACUACAAGUCCCAGGGUGCACUGCAGCUUUACUUAGCUUCAUAUUAGAGCAUUGCAUGCUGGGGCAUGUAGUUGGUUUAACUAGCA
MicroRNA precursor from Cricetulus griseus (Chinese hamster), 97 nucleotides. Lineage: Eukaryota; Metazoa; Chordata; Mammalia; Rodentia; Cricetidae. The record is from Ensembl.